GAGACCUUCGGGUCUAGUGGCGCACGGGUGCGUAACGCGUGGGAAUCUGCCCUUGGGUUCGGAAUAACAGUGAGAAAUUACUGCUAAUACCGGAUGAUGUCUUCGGACCAAAGAUUUAUCGCCCAAGGAUGAGCCCGCGUAGGAUUAGCUAGUUGGUGGGGUAAUGGCCUACCAAGGCGACGAUCCUUAGCUGGUCUGAGAGGAUGAUCAGCCACACUGGGACUGAGACACGGCCCAGACUCCUACGGGAGGCAGCAGUGGGGAAUAUUGGACAAUGGGCGAAAGCCUGAUCCAGCAAUGCCGCGUGAGUGAUGAAGGCCUUAGGGUUGUAAAGCUCUUUUACCCGGGAUGAUAAUGACAGUACCGGGAGAAUAAGCUCCGGCUAACUCCGUGCCAGCAGCCGCGGUAAUACGGAGGGAGCUAGCGUUGUUCGGAAUUACUGGGCGUAAAGCGCGCGUAGGCGGUUACUCAAGUCAGAGGUGAAAGCCCGGGGCUCAACCCCGGAACUGCCUUUGAAACUAGGUGACUAGAAUCUUGGAGAGGUCAGUGGAAUUCCGAGUGUAGAGGUGAAAUUC
This 575-nucleotide ribosomal RNA is filed under the name Novosphingobium sp. RM3. RNAcentral describes it as "bacterial SSU rRNA". It matches the Rfam family "Bacterial small subunit ribosomal RNA", at positions 68 to 689 of the family's 1533-position model. Lineage: Bacteria; Pseudomonadati; Pseudomonadota; Alphaproteobacteria; Sphingomonadales; Sphingomonadaceae. The record is from RNAcentral.